Molecule: long non-coding RNA, 2300 nt
Organism: Scleropages formosus (Asian bonytongue)
Lineage: Eukaryota; Metazoa; Chordata; Actinopteri; Osteoglossiformes; Osteoglossidae
Source: Ensembl
AUGGAGAUAAGAAAACAAAUUAAACUUUUGGAGGAGGAUAACGAUGAAUUUCAGAAGAAUGGAGAAGUUGACAGUGAAGCGGAUGAAGGAAUAUAUCUAGACAAUGUGGAUGAUUUUGACGAUGACCUUGAAGAUGAUGAUGUUCGUACUGCUGCUGAUUAUAUCUGCCAUGAUUUUGGCCAUGGAAAUGAUGACGCUGACUUUGCUGGUAAGGAUGACAGCCAUUCUGAAGAUGCUGAUGACCAGGAUAUUGCCUGUAAAGAUGAAGAGUGUCAUGGUACUGCUGAGGAUGAUCAAGAUAUUGGCAAUAAUGAUGAUGAAGGUGGUGAUGAUGGUCAUUAUGGUGAAGGCGAUGUCCAUGAUAUUCACCGUAAAGAUGGUGACAUUCAUCCUGCUACAUUUGAUGACCACCACAUUGACCAUGAGACUGAUUAUAGCCUCUCUGAUGAUCAUCUUCUUGAUCAUGAAGAAGAUGACCACCAUACAGAUGAUAGUCAUGACACUGACCAUGAAGACUAUGACAAAUCUGAUUACAGAGAUCAGGAAAAGAAUCAUGUUAAAACUGAUAAAAGUGGUGAAGAAGAGGAAAGCGAAACAAAUAAAAACAAAGUCAUAGAUGAUGAAAGUGAUGAGGGGAAAAGGGACAGUGAUGAAUAUGUCAAAAAUGCUGAUGAAGACAAUGAUGAAAGUAUAGCUUACACAACUGAAGAUACAAGUAAAGAUGACAGAGAAGAAAGGGCGGAUGCUGAAAAACAAGAUGACAAACAACAGGCAACUGUGGUCACUGACCAUGAUGUAGAGCUCAAAGAAGAUGGUGUAGUCACCACUUUUGCAGGUGAAUAUGAAGAAAAAUCUAAAAAUGAAAUAAAGGCAGAGGAUCACAAAACAAUUACUGAUGUCAAGAACCGAAGAACAGAACCAAUAGAUAUAUGGUUCAGAAAACCUGCCCAGGACCAGGAAGACAGAAAAGAAAAAAGGCCUACAAAACCUGAGAAGUCAGAAGAAGAGGAAGUUCAGAAGGUCAUAGAAAAAGUGAAACCAACUGUAGAAUUUAUAGUGGAGAAACCACCACAGGCUGAACUCAAGGAACUGGAGAAACAAAUUACAGCAGAAGAAAAGAAGAUGCCUCCAAAGAAACAGGAGAAGGAGAUGGUAGUCCCUCAUAAGGAAAAAACAGAGAAGGCAAAGAAACCAGAGAAAGACAAAGUCAUCCUAUUUCAGGAAAAAAAGAAGGAAAAGGUGGUUCCAUCUGAAGAGAAACCAGAGAAAGCAAAAGAAUUAAAGAAAGACAAGGUGGCGCGAUUUAAGGAAAAACCUGAGAGGAUAAAGAAACCAGAGAAGGACAAGAUGGUCCCACCUGAGGAAAAACUAGAGAAGGAAAAGGAGCAAAAGGAGAAGAUGGUCCCACCUCAGGAAAAGCCAGAGAGGGAAAAGAAGCAAAAGGAAAAGAUAGCCCCACCUGAGGAAAAACCAAAAAAGGUAAAGAAACCAGACAAGGAGAAAGUGGUCCCAUCUGAGAAAAAAUCAGAGAAGGCAAAAAAACUAGCAACAGAAACAAUGGUCCCACCUGAAGAAAAACCAGAGAAGGUCAAAAAGCCAGAGAAAGAGAAGGUGGUCCCACCUGAUGAAAGACUAGAGAAGGCAAAGAAGCCAGAGAAGAAGAAGGCGGACCUACCUGAGGAAAAACCAGAGAAGGAAAUGGUGCAAAAGGAGAAGGUGGUCCCACCUAAGGAAAAAUCAGAGAAGAUAAAGAAACCAGAGAAAAAGCAAAUGGUUCCAUCUGAGGAAAAACCAAAGAAGGCAAAACAACCAGCAGAAGCAACAAGGGUCCCACCUGAAGAAAAACCAGUGAGGACAAAGAAGGCAGAAAGGAAGGUGGUAUCACCUGAGGAAAAACCAGAGAAGGAAACAGAGCAAAAAGAGAAGGUGCUCCCACCUGAGGAAGAAACAGAGAAGGUAAAGAAACCAGAGAAGGAAAAGAUGGUUCUAUCUGAGGAAAAACCAGAGAAAGCCAAAAAGCCAGUAAAGGAAGAAGUGAUCCAACCUGAAGAACAACCAGUGAGGGCAAAGAUGCCAGAGAAGGAGAAAGUGGUCCCACCUGAGAAAAAAUCAGAAAAGGAAAAAAAAACUGAGAAGAAGAAGGUGGUAUCAUCUGAGGAAAAACCAGUGAAGGAAAAGAAGCCAGAGGAGAAAGUGGUCCCACGUGAAAAAAAAACCACUGAAGGAAAAAAAACCAGAGAAGGUAGUUCGACCUGAGGGAAAACUAGAAAAGCCAAAGAAACCAGAAGAGAAAGUUUUCC